Long non-coding RNA from Armigeres subalbatus, 1773 nucleotides. RefSeq lists it as uncharacterized. The record is from RefSeq and is a predicted model, not a curated record. The transcript has 3 exons. NCBI's taxonomy places the organism in Eukaryota, Metazoa, Arthropoda, Insecta, Diptera, Culicidae.
UCCAGUCCAGUUGAAAAUCGAAUUUCGAACUCGCGAAAACCGAUUUUAUUCGCGUUCAACUUAUAGCGCAUCAUUGCGCAACUAGUGCACAUUGUUCGCAACCAGAUGCGCAGUAAUGAAACUUGCGACUAAUAGGAGAAAAAUUGAUUGUCGUGAGUUCAAAAAUUCGGUUUUGAGCUGCACACAUAAUACUUUGUUUUGAUUCAUAAAUUAUCAUUAAUUUAAUUGUUCCCUAUUGUGUCCUAUUGGGUUAUUGAUAGCAUUGCCGAAGAUUAUACUGAAAAUGUUCAUGGGAUAAAUUUUCUGCCCUUCUUGCCCAUUAGGAAAUUAAUUUAAUUCUUUUAUUUAAGGAAAAUUAACAAUUUGCAACACUCUGCUGGACCACCUCUAAAUCAUUUUGUAUGAAUUCUAAGUUGGUGCUACGCCGACAAUAAUAAAACAUUUCAGAAUUUAAUUCAAAGCACAACCAGUCAGUUACAAUAAAUACAACCCAGGCAACAAACGUAUAGGCGUAGGAGGCGUAGGAAGUAAAAUCAUCUGUCGACUGGCUUCAAUCAUAACAUAAAUUUAGUGAAUAUCUUUUUCCAUUAUGAAAUAAAUUUUACUUACUUUUUCCAGCGAUUCAUGGAACACAUUCUAAAUUCUAAUAAGUUGAAAUAGAUUUCAAAUUGUUGAAAUUAGGUGACGACAAUGGUAUCACUAAAUGGAAUCAGUUUUUACCUAAGAUCCUCAAGUAUCUCGAUCAACCCUUCAAAGAUAAUGUAUCAUCGAAUCUGCUAGAUUUCAUCAAAUCAUCAGACGCCGAUAGAGAUUCGACCAUCUCGACUGUUCUUCUUUUGCUGAAUAAUGUUUUGAAACCAACUAAAGUGACCAAAACAUAUAAGCCAUCAAUUCUAUCACCGCAGGGAGACAUCAUCUUUUUUGCGGAAUCAGAUCAUCAAGUGACCCAGAAGAUCAACGACUUUAAUGCAGCGUACGAGUCACUAGGUCUUAAAACCGUCCCAAAGUUAGUAUUCAGAGGCAAAGAUAUCACGUCGUUGAGUGGCAGAUACGAAGUACAUUAUAAGUCUAUUGUAUACGUACUUGAUACGGCAGAAAGAGCCAUCGAUGUUCUAGUGAAGCUCAGCUCAAUUUUCGGAUUGGAAUAUUCAAAAAUUUGUAGACUGGUAUGGAAUUUCAUUUGUUCUUUCAUAUAUGAUUUAGCUGUACCAGAACAAUAUGAAUCCAUCAACAAGCUCAAGCGAUACUUAUCGCAAUAACAAUAUGUUCCACUGUAUGAUUGAAGGCUGCACAGUCACUGCCAUGAAUGUUUACGUAUACUUUGACCAUCUAACCAUAUUACAUAAGAUCCCAAGGAACUAUCGAUAUGUGUGCACAUUCCCACGAUGUUCCCAAAUACUAUCCAAUUGGUAUGUGUUUAAAAGGCAUGUGCUAGGACACGUUGAUCGUCAAUAUCAAACGACUGAAAAACAGAAAACUGUUCGCGAAGACUUAUCCGCAUCCGCUGAUGUUGGAAUAACCGCAGGGCAAAUUUUUACUACACCAGACGCAACAACUGAUCAUGUAGAGUUCGCAGAGGAUAAAGUACAAAUUACAUCAUAUUCAGAAAACAUGAGAGAUAUUGAACAGGCAGCUUUAGAGUUUACGUUAGAGCUCCACAGUGAAACGAAUUUGACCCGAAAUGAUAUUCAACACAUACAGAGAAAAGUUAAGACAUUAAAUUGCAACAUUGUUGAAAAGAUUGAAGGACUAUUAUCAUUUGAAACAAGGGAC